AACGAACGCUGGCGGCAUGCCUAACACAUGCAAGUCGAACGAGAUCUUCGGGUCUAGUGGCGCACGGGUGCGUAACGCGUGGGAAUCUGCCCUUUGGUUCGGAAUAACAGUUGGAAACGACUGCUAAUACCGGAUGAUGACGAAAGUCCAAAGAUUUAUCGCCAGAGGAUGAGCCCGCGUAGGAUUAGCUCGUUGGUGGGGUAAAGGCGCACCAAGGCGACGAUCCUUAGCUGGUCUGAGAGGAUGAUCAGCCAAACUGGGAAUGAGACACAGCCCAGACUCCUACGGGAGGCAGCAGUGGGGAAUAUUGGACAAUGGGCGAAAGCCUGAUCCAGCAAUGCCGCGUGAGUGAUGAAGGCCUUAGGGUUGUAAAGCUCUUUUACCCGGGAUGAUAAUGACAGUACCGGGAGAAUAAGCUCCGGCUAACUCCGUGCCAGCCGCCGCGGUAA
This 449-nucleotide ribosomal RNA is filed under the name uncultured bacterium. RNAcentral describes it as "partial 16S ribosomal RNA". It matches the Rfam family "Bacterial small subunit ribosomal RNA", at positions 29 to 523 of the family's 1533-position model. The record is from RNAcentral.